GACGAACGCUGGCGGCGUGCCUAAUACAUGCAAGUCGAACGAACCGCGACUAGGUGCUUGCACUUGGUCAAGGUGAGUGGCGAACGGGUGAGUAACACGUGGGUAACCUACCUCAUAGUGGGGGAUAACAGUCGGAAACGACUGCUAAUGCCGCAUAGGACAUAGGAUCACAUGAUCCAGUGAGGAAAGGUGGCGCAAGCUAUCGCUAAGAGAUGGACCCGCGGUGCAUUAGCUAGUUGGUAGGGUAAAGGCCUACCAAGGCGAUGAUGCAUAGCCGACCUGAGAGGGUGAUCGGCCACAUUGGGACUGAGACACGGCCCAAACUCCUACGGGAGGCAGCGGUAGGGAAUCUUCCGCAAUGGACGCAAGUCUGACGGAGCAACGCCGCGUGAGUGAAGAAGGUCUUCGGAUCGUAAAGCUCUGUUGUUAGAGAAGAACAGCGCAUAGAGUAACUGUUAUGCGUGUGACGGUAUCUAACCAGAAAGCCACGGCUAACUACGUG
Molecule: ribosomal RNA, 502 nt
Filed under: uncultured bacterium
Lineage: Bacteria
Description: partial 16S ribosomal RNA
Rfam family: Bacterial small subunit ribosomal RNA
Source: RNAcentral